CGUGAGGUUCAGACUGCUUAAGGGAGAGCCGCGGUGGCCAAGUGGCGGCAGCGGCUGCGGCGGCGGUGGCUGCGGCGGCGGCGGGCUCCAGAGGCUGCGUCUUCAGGCCUGUCCUGGAAGUAGGUGUUUUUGGAGAUUUGUAGAAGAUUUCGGUGUGAAAGUCCUGCCUUUGGUACCACUUGUGACCAGAAAAGCAGUGCAGCCGUACAAGGACCCAGAAGGGUGAGGGCUCUGCUGGGCAAACAGCUAAAGUGUGACUCAAAACAGCUGGACCAUAGUGUCAGACUACCAGAGAGCCUGUGACAGAGGGGAGUGGCCUUCAGCUCUGCGUCACCGUGGAGGCCGAGCCUUCUUUGAGCAGCGCCUGUGAGUUCUGGCUUGCCAGCCUCGGGGGAGGAGCUGCAUUUUAGCAGGCUGCAGCUGACAAGAAGCUUCAAGAGGUGUCUUGAGAUUGGAGUGACUCCAGAAAGGCAGCGUAACUACAUACGUGCCCCACAGGGUGAAAGACCUGUUUGGAAGUCAGCUGGCGUGAGGGUCACACAGCCAGACUACCU
This 554-nucleotide long non-coding RNA is filed under the name Rattus norvegicus (Norway rat). Its description in RNAcentral is "long non-coding RNA NONRATT030675". Lineage: Eukaryota; Metazoa; Chordata; Mammalia; Rodentia; Muridae. The record is from RNAcentral.